AUGCCUCCUACCUUAGCCCCCUGCCCUCCAAACUGUCUUCAAAAAACCCCUAACCUCCAAGCCUGCAGAAAGGUCGAUUUGAGGAAUAACUCUGUCUCCUGUGUGGCAUGGCUGGACUCGCAUCAGUUAAACUUUCUUUACUGCAAUGCCAUGGUCUUGCAUGACCAGUCUCUUGCAUAGGAGGAAGUGGUAAGCUAAGGAGAGAAAUGCAUGGUUCCUAGCACACCAAUUUUGCAAAGAUGAAAAAACCAAUUUUUCAUCUUGGCCUUGCUUGAAAAUGACGCAUCUACUGUCUUCGUGCCUUAGCACAGCAGAGGUAAGAAAAUUCCCAUUCAAGUUUUAUUAGUUUUUUUUUUUUUUAAUUGUGUGCCUGAUUGCUUCAAUAAAAUUCAAACUAAUAAGAAAAAAGCAUAGCUUUGUUUUAUAGCCAUAGCUUGGUUAACACAAGGACAUUUGAGCCACAUAAAUGCAUAACACUUUUUAUAACCUCCUUAGCUCACAUUUAACACACACAUUGGGGUUACACUGUCCAUAAAUAAACAGCACAUUGUAAGUUUGAGAUGUAGCCUUUGGAGCAAAACAUACCAGGACUGGAUUAUCAUGUCUGACACUACUGGCUUUGUGAUCCCGGAUCCUACAAUUCCUUUUAACUUUCUCAGCCUCACUUAUCUCAUAUGUAUAACUGAAAAAGUAACAUAUGCUUCAUAAGGAUUAAAUGAGGCAGAUAUAAAAAACACCCUUGUGCUUGGUGCUUUCUUCUAAAUGGGACAAUAAUGAUAAUUAGUGAUUACAUUUAAUUAACUUUUC
RNAcentral lists this long non-coding RNA (807 nucleotides) under Papio anubis (olive baboon). Its description in RNAcentral is "lncRNA (ENSPANG00000047320.1)". Lineage: Eukaryota; Metazoa; Chordata; Mammalia; Primates; Cercopithecidae. The record is from RNAcentral.